This 2067-nucleotide ribosomal RNA is filed under the name Listeria monocytogenes. Its description in RNAcentral is "partial 23S ribosomal RNA". It matches the Rfam family "Bacterial large subunit ribosomal RNA", at positions 1 to 1920 of the family's 2925-position model. The record is from RNAcentral. Lineage: Bacteria; Bacillati; Bacillota; Bacilli; Caryophanales; Listeriaceae.
AAAAAAGGUAAGCUACUAAGAGCGAAUGGUGGAUGCCUUGACUGGUAAAGGCGAUGAAGGACGUACUAGACUGCGAUAAGCUACGGGGAGCUGUCAAGAAGCUUUGAUCCGUAGAUUUCCGAAUGGGGCAACCCAAUGUAUAGAGAUAUACAUUACCUAUAUAGGAGCGAACGAGGGGAAUUGAAACAUCUUAGUACCCUCAGGAAAAGAAAUCAAUAGAGAUUGCGUCAGUAGCGGCGAGCGAAAGCGCAAGAGGGCAAACCCAGUGCUUGCACUGGGGGUUGUAGGACUGCAAUGUGCAAGAGCUGAGUUUAGCAGAACAUUCUGGAAAGUAUAGCCAUAGAGGGUGAUAGUCCCGUAUGCGAAAAACAAAGCUUAGCUAGCAGUAUCCUGAGUAGGGCGGGACACGAGGAAUCCUGUCUGAAUCCGGGUCGACCACGAUCCAACCCUAAAUACUAAUACCAGAUCGAUAGUGCACAAGUACCGUGAGGGAAAGGUGAAAAGAACUGAGGUGAUCAGAGUGAAAUAGAACCUGAAACCAUUUGCUUACAAUCAUUCAGAGCACUAUGUAGCAAUACAGUGUGAUGGACUGCCUUUUGCAUAAUGAGCCUGCGAGUUGUGGUGUCUGGCAAGGUUAAGCAAACGCGAAGCCGUAGCGAAAGCGAGUCUGAAUAGGGCGCUUAGUCAGAUGCUGCAGACCCGAAACGAAGUGAUCUAUCCAUGAGCAAGUUGAAGCUAGUGUAAGAACUAGUGGAGGACUGAACCCAUAGGCGUUGAAAAGCCCCGGGAUGACUUGUGGAUAGGGGUGAAAGGCCAAUCAAACUUCGUGAUAGCUGGUUCUCUCCGAAAUAUAUUUAGGUAUAGCGUUGUGUCGUAAUAUAAGGGGGUAGAGCACUGAAUGGGCUAGGGCAUACACCAAUGUACCAAACCCUAUCAAACUCCGAAUACCUUAUAUGUAAUCACAGCAGUCAGGCGGCGAGUGAUAAAAUCCGUCGUCAAGAGGGAAACAACCCAGACUACCAGCUAAGGUCCCUAAAUCUUACUUAAGUGGAAAACGAUGUGAAGUUACUUAAACAACCAGGAGGUUGGCUUAGAAGCAGCCAUCCUUUAAAGAAAGCGUAAUAGCUCACUGGUCUAGUGAUUUUGCGCGGAAAAUAUAACGGGGCUAAAGUAAGUACCGAAGCUGUAGACUUGCGCACAACUUAGAUUAUUUAAGUUUAGAAUAUGAGAAACUAAGUUAUGUUUAGUUAUAUUUUUACUGAUUUUUAUAGAGUAAAGAUAGAAAUAAAACUUAGUAAAAUCAGUAAAAAUAUUCUUAGGCUAAAGUUAAGUAGUUUAAGUUGUGUGCAAGUGGUAGGAGAGCGUUCUAUUUGCGUCGAAGGUAUACCGGUAAGGAGUGCUGGAGCGAAUAGAAGUGAGCAUGCAGGCAUGAGUAGCGAUAAUUAAUGUGAGAAUCAUUAACGCCGUAAACCCAAGGUUUCCUACGCGAUGCUCGUCAUCGUAGGGUUAGUCGGGUCCUAAGUCGAGUCCGAAAGGGGUAGACGAUGGCAAAUUGGUUAAUAUUCCAAUACCAACAUUAGUGUGCGAUGGAAGGACGCUUAGGGCUAAGGGGGCUAGCGGAUGGAAGUGCUAGUCUAAGGUCGUAGGAGGUUAUACAGGCAAAUCCGUAUAACAAUACUCCGAGAACUGAAAGGCUUUUUGAAGUCUUCGGAUGGAUAGAAGAACCCCUGAUGCCGUCGAGCCAAGAAAAGUUUCUAAGUUUAGCUAAUGUUGCCCGUACCGUAAACCGACACAGGUGGGUGGGAUGAGUAUUCUAAGGCGCGUGGAAGAACUCUCUUUAAGGAACUCUGCAAAAUAGCACCGUAUCUUCGGUAUAAGGUGUGGUUAGCUUUGUAUUAGGAUUUACUCCGAAAGCAAGGAAACUUACAACAAAGAGUCCCUCCCGACUGUUUACCAAAAACACAGCACUCUGCUAACUCGUAAGAGGAUGUAUAGGGUGUGACGCCUGCCCGGUGCUCGAAGGUUAAUUGAUGGGGUUAGCAUUAGCGAAGCUCUUGAUCGAAGCCC